GACGAACGCUGGCGGCGUGCUUAACACAUGCAAGUCGAACGGAAAGGCCCUGCUUGCAGGGUACUCGCGUGGCGAACGGGUGAGUAACACGUGGGUGAUCUGCCCUGCACUUCGGGAUAAGCCUGGGAAACUGGGUCUAAUACCGGCUAGGAGCCAUUUUUAGUGUGAUGGUUGGAAAGUUUUUUCGGUGUAGGAUGAGCUCGCGGCGUAUCUGCUUGUUGGUGGGGUAAUGGCCUACCAAGGCGGCGACGGGUAGCCGGACUGCGGGGGUGGACGGCCACAUUGGGACUGAGAGAAGGCCCAGACAGCGACUGGAGGGAGCAGGGGGGAAGAUUGCACAAUGGGCGCAAGGCUGAUGCAGCGACGCCGCGUGGGGGAUGACGGCCUUCGGGGGGUAAAAUCCUUUCGCUAGGGACGAAGCUUUUUGUGACGGUACCUAGAUAGGAAGCACCGGCUAACUACGUG
RNAcentral lists this ribosomal RNA (465 nucleotides) under uncultured bacterium. Its description in RNAcentral is "partial 16S ribosomal RNA". It matches the Rfam family "Bacterial small subunit ribosomal RNA", at positions 28 to 507 of the family's 1533-position model. The record is from RNAcentral.